RNAcentral lists this ribosomal RNA (468 nucleotides) under uncultured bacterium. RNAcentral describes it as "partial 16S ribosomal RNA". It matches the Rfam family "Bacterial small subunit ribosomal RNA", at positions 28 to 507 of the family's 1533-position model. The record is from RNAcentral.
GGCGAACGCUGGCGGCGUGCUUAACACAUGCAAGUCGAACGGCAGGGCCCUGCUUUUGUGGGGUGCUCGAGUGGCGAACGGGUGCGUAACACGUGAGUAACCUGCCCUUGACUUUGGGAUAACUUCAGGAAACUGGGGCUAAUACCGGAUAGGAGCCCCUGCUGCAUGGAGGGGGUUGGAAAUUUUCGGCGGUUGGGGAUGGACUCGCGGCUUAUCAGCUUGUUGGUGGGGUAGUGGCUUCCCAAGGCUGUGACGGGUAGCCGGCCUGAGAGGGUGACCGGCGACAUGGGGACUGAGAUACGGCCCAGACGCCUACGGGAGGCAGCAGUGGGGAAUAUGGCACAAUGGGCGGAAGCCGGAUGCAGCAACGCCGCGUGCGGGAUGACGGCCUUCGGGUUGUAAACCGCUUUCGCCUGUGACGAAGCGUGAGUGACGGUAAUGGGUAAAGAAGCACCGGCUAACUACGUG